CUACGGGUCGCUCCAGUAGGGAAUAUUGCACAAUGGGCGAAAGCCUGAUGCAGCAACGCCGCGUGUGCGAUGAAGGCCUUCGGGUCGUAAAGCACUUUUCGGGGGGAUGAGAAAGGACAGUACUCCCGGAAUAAGUCUCGGCUAACUACGUGCCAGCAGCCGCGGUAACACGUAGGAGGCAAGCGUUAUCCGGAUUUACUGGGCGUAAAGCGCGUGCAGGUGGUUUGGUAAGUUGGAUGUGAAAUCUCCCGGCUCAACUGGGUGAGGUCGUUCAAAACUGCUGGACUAGAGGACGGUAGAGGAAAGUGGAAUUCCCGGUGUAGUGGUGAAAUGCGUAGAUAUCGGGAGGAACACCAGUGGCGAAAGCGACUUUCUGGCCCGUUCCUGACACUAAGACGCGAAAGCUAGGGUAGCAAACGGGAUUAGAUACCCCCGUAGUC
RNAcentral lists this ribosomal RNA (440 nucleotides) under uncultured bacterium. Its description in RNAcentral is "partial 16S ribosomal RNA". It matches the Rfam family "Bacterial small subunit ribosomal RNA", at positions 339 to 795 of the family's 1533-position model. The record is from RNAcentral.